RNAcentral lists this small RNA (141 nucleotides) under Catenovulum maritimum. Lineage: Bacteria; Pseudomonadati; Pseudomonadota; Gammaproteobacteria; Alteromonadales; Alteromonadaceae. The record is from RNAcentral.
AAAGAAAAAAGGCCCGAGCAGUUGGGGCGCUCGGGCUUAGGGGAAGGGCUCAACGGGAUUGAGCCUUUUGCGCUAACUUGACUUGAAACUAAACAAGUUAAGUAAACUAAUAUUAGUACAUAGUUAGCGCUUUUUAGGAUU